UACGUAGGGUGCAAGCGUUAAUCGGAAUUACUGGGCGUAAAGCGUGCGCAGGUGGUUUGUUAAGAGCGAUGUGAAAUCCCCGGGCUCAACCUGGGAACUGCGUCGCUGACUGGCAAGCUAGAGUGUGGCAGAGGGGGGUGGAAUUCCACGUGUAGCAGUGAAAUGCGUAGAGAUGUGGAGGAACACCGAUGGCGAAGGCAACCCCCUGGGCUAACACUGACACUCAUGCACGAAAGCGUGGGGAGCAAACAGG
Molecule: ribosomal RNA, 253 nt
Filed under: uncultured bacterium
Lineage: Bacteria
Description: partial 16S ribosomal RNA
Rfam family: Bacterial small subunit ribosomal RNA
Source: RNAcentral